RNAcentral lists this ribosomal RNA (497 nucleotides) under uncultured bacterium. RNAcentral describes it as "partial 16S ribosomal RNA". It matches the Rfam family "Bacterial small subunit ribosomal RNA", at positions 28 to 507 of the family's 1533-position model. The record is from RNAcentral.
GAUGAACGCUGGCGGCGUGCCUAAUACAUGCAAGUCGAGCGAACAGACGAGGAGCUUGCUCCUCUGACGUUAGCGGCGGACGGGUGAGUAACACGUGGAUAACCGACCUAUAAGACUGGGAUAACUUCGGGAAACCGGAGCUAAUACCGGAUAAUAUAUUGAACCGCAUGGUUCAUUAGUGAAAGACGGUUUUGCUGUCACUUAUAGAUGGAUCCGCGCCGCAUUAGCUAGUUGGUAAGGUAACGGCUUACCAAGGCGACGAUGCGUAGCCGACCUGAGAGGGUGAUCGGCCACACUGGAACUGAGACACGGUCCAGACUCCUACGGGAGGCAGCAGUAGGGAAUCUUCCGCAAUGGGCGAAAGCCUGAUGGAGCCACGCCGCGUGAGUGAUGAAGGUCUUCGGAUCGUAAAACUCUGUUAUUAGGGAAGAACAAAUGUGUAAGUAACUAUGCACGUCUUGACGGUACCUAAUCAGAAAGCCACGGCUAACUACGUG